Dicentrarchus labrax (European seabass) is the source of this 574-nucleotide long non-coding RNA. RefSeq lists it as uncharacterized. The transcript is spliced from 2 exons. The record is from RefSeq and is a predicted model, not a curated record. Lineage: Eukaryota; Metazoa; Chordata; Actinopteri; Moronidae.
UAAAACAAACACAAACACACAAAAUUAGACAAAUGUAAGGCAGCACAAUGAAAACACACACACAUUUCUUUGUUCACACCACCUUCAUCACGUCGCUCGGCAUGAUGGGACGGCACCCAGCCCAGCCUCACCGUUAACCUGCCUCCCGGUUGAGCCCUCCGAUCCAUGGCGGCGGGUUGAAGGUUUAUUUUCAAAACAACGUGACAUGGUGGAGAAAAAGGGAGGGAUGUUAUUUUUCCUGAAGGUUCAGCAUUCUGACUGCGGAGAGAAACUCUUUAAUAAACAAACAACAACAACAACAACAAAGAGGUCAAUGGGAGGAUCCUCAGGGGGAGAUGCACGUUGUAAAUCACCAGGAAAUGGAGGAUGUGGUUAACCAGGAGGAAGAAGAGGAUGAUGUCAGCCUGGAGGAGCAGUAGCACAUGUGCAAGGCUGUUGUGCUGAACCAGGGCGGUCAGCAAGACUUUUAGGAAGACCAGAGCAACAAAGGGAACGCCAGUUCCUUCAUGUGUAUAAUAAAUUAUAGUUAUAGUCUUUUCAUUUUCAUUUUAUAUAAUAAACUUUUUUAGCGUGG